GACGAACGCUGGCGGCGUGCUUAACACAUGCAAGUCGAACGGAAAGGCCCUGCUUUUGUGGGGUGCUCGAGUGGCGAACGGGUGAGUAACACGUGAGUAACCUGCCCUUGACUUUGGGAUAACUUCAGGAAACUGGGGCUAAUACCGGAUAGGAGCUCCUGCUGCAUGGUGGGGGUUGGAAAGUUUCGGCGGUUGGGGAUGGACUCGCGGCUUAUCAGCUUGUUGGUGGGGUAGUGGCUUACCAAGGCUUUGACGGGUAGCCGGCCUGAGAGGGUGACCGGCCACAUUGGGACUGAGAUACGGCCCAGACUCCUACGGGAGGCAGCAGUGGGGAAUAUUGCACAAUGGGCGGAAGCCUGAUGCAGCAACGCCGCGUGCGGGAUGACGGCCUUCGGGUUGUAAACCGCUUUCGCCUGUGACGAAGCGUGAGUGACGGUAAUGGGUAAAGAAGCACCGGCUAACUACGUGCCAGCAGCCGCGGUGAUACGUAGGGUGCGAGCGUUGUCCGGAUUUAUUGGGCGUAAAGGGCUCGUAGGUGGUUGAUCGCGUCGGAAGUGUAAUUUUGGGGCUUAACCCUGAGCGUGCUUUCGAUACGGGUUGACUUGAGGAAGGUAGGGGAGAAUGGAAUUCCUGGUGGAGCGGUGGAAUGCGCAGAUAUCAGGAGGAACACCAGUGGCGAAGGCGGUUCUCUGGGCCUUUCCUGACGCUGAGGAGCGAAAGCGUGGGGAGCGAACAGGCUUAGAUACCCUGGUAGUCCACGCUGUAAACGGUGGGUACUAGGUGUGGGGUCCAUUCCACGGGUUCCGUGCCGUAGCUAACGCUUUAAGUACCCCGCCUGGGGAGUACGGCCGCAAGGCUAAAACUCAAAGGAAUUGACGGGGCCCCGCACAAGCGGCGGAGCAUGCGGAUUAAUUCGAUGCAACGCGUAGAACCUUACCUGGGUUUGACAUGGAUCGGGAGCGCUCAGAGAUGGGUGUGCCUCUUUUGGGGUCGGUUCACAGGUGGUGCAUGGCUGUCGUCAGCUCGUGUCGUGAGAUGUUGGGUUAAGUCCCGCAACGAGCGCAACCCUUGUUCACUGUUGCCAGCACGUUAUGGUGGGGACUCAGUGGAGACCGCCGGGGUCAACUCGGAGGAAGGUGGGGAUGACGUCAAGUCAUCAUGCCCCUUAUGUCCAGGGCUUCACGCAUGCUACAAUGGCUGGUACAGAGAGUGGCGAGCCUGUGAGGGUGAGCGAAUCUCGGAAAGCCGGUCUCAGUUCGGAUUGGGGUCUGCAACUCGACCUCAUGAAGUCGGAGUCGCUAGUAAUCGCAGAUCAGCAACGCUGCGGUGAAUACGUUCCCGGGGCU
RNAcentral lists this ribosomal RNA (1346 nucleotides) under uncultured bacterium. Its description in RNAcentral is "bacterial SSU rRNA". It matches the Rfam family "Bacterial small subunit ribosomal RNA", at positions 28 to 1381 of the family's 1533-position model. The record is from RNAcentral.